Molecule: long non-coding RNA, 737 nt
Filed under: Volvox carteri
Lineage: Eukaryota; Viridiplantae; Chlorophyta; Chlorophyceae; Chlamydomonadales; Volvocaceae
Description: long non-coding RNA (VCAR_LNC003305)
Source: RNAcentral
CAGCGCGGUGCAGCUGAUCUGGCGCGGCUUAGCUUGGCGUUAACGGUUUGCCUAGGCACUUGUGGCCGGGUGGUGCGUGUGGGUUUGCAUGUCGUCCAGGGACUUGUUGGUCUCUUUGUUUCCAUGUUUCCAUGUUUCCAUGUUCGUUUCCAUGUUUCCAUGUUCAUGGUCUGGUCUGGGUUGACACUACUGCAAUUAGCGGUUUAAGGUCCUGGGUUCGAUUCCUGGGGAGACCCCCGAAUUAGUCGGGAGCGCGAGAUUAUGGCUAGCUGCUGAGAUGUGGAGUUGAGGUCACAGUUGAUGGACCAGAUUCGCACGCUGGAUUGGUGGCGAUUGCCGAACCCUCCGUCUCUUCGGGUGUUCGGGUGAAUGGAUGAGGAGGGGUCCCUGAAGGCUGGAUCCGCCGCCUUGGACUUACAGUUCGUAUGGCGAAGUACAGUGUGGUAGUGGUGGAUGGUGCUAUAAGGUGAUAAAUGAUCUAGAACUGACAAUGUGAUAAAGCGGCCCAGAAGCUUCCCACUCUGUAACAUUACAUACAUACAUGUUCGUGGUUCCUCAGCCGGCGCGAUGUUUCACAUUAAAGUGUGUGGUGAUAAUUGCUGUUUGAAGACCGUCUGAGAUGCGAGAUGAGAGAGGUCUGUCUGAAAGUGCUUGGGAAGGAGGGGGGGAUAUUGGGUGCGCGAUCUUUUGGUCGUGCUCUGGCUCUCCAUGCUGUGUGGGUGGGUAGAGGCAGCCAU